RNAcentral lists this ribosomal RNA (253 nucleotides) under uncultured bacterium. RNAcentral describes it as "partial 16S ribosomal RNA". It matches the Rfam family "Bacterial small subunit ribosomal RNA", at positions 524 to 776 of the family's 1533-position model. The record is from RNAcentral.
CACGUAGGGGGCGAGCGUUGUCCGGAUUUAUUGGGCGUAAAGAGCUCGUAGGCGGUUUGUUGCGUCGGCUGUGAAAUCCCGAGGCUCAACCUCGGGUCUGCAGUCGAUACGAGCAAACUAGAGUGUUGCAGGGGAGACUGGAAUUCCUGGUGUAGCGGUGAAAUGCGCAGAUAUCGGGAGGAACACCAAUGGCGAAGGCAGCUCGCUGGGACGGUACUGACGCUGAGACGCGAAAGCGUGGGGAGCAAACAGG